RNAcentral lists this transfer RNA (63 nucleotides) under Atergatis floridus. RNAcentral describes it as "tRNA-Pro". It matches the Rfam family "tRNA". From Rfam's summary of the family: Transfer RNA (tRNA) molecules are approximately 80 nucleotides in length. Their secondary structure includes four short double-helical elements and three loops (D, anti-codon, and T loops). The record is from RNAcentral. Lineage: Eukaryota; Metazoa; Arthropoda; Malacostraca; Decapoda; Xanthidae.
CAGAGAAUAGUUUAAGGUAAAAUAUUAGUUUUGGGAAUUAAAGAUAAAAGUGUUUUUCUCUGA